RNAcentral lists this ribosomal RNA (459 nucleotides) under uncultured bacterium. RNAcentral's name for it is "partial 16S ribosomal RNA". It matches the Rfam family "Bacterial small subunit ribosomal RNA", at positions 338 to 795 of the family's 1533-position model. The record is from RNAcentral.
CCUACGGGUGGCAGCAGUGAGGAAUAUUGGUCAAUGGCCGGGAGGCUGAACCAGCCAAGUCGCGUGAGGGAAGACGGCCCUACGGGUUGUAAACCUCUUUUGUCAGGGAGCAAGGUGCAGGUCGGGACCUGCUGUGAGAUUACCUGAAGAGAAAGCAUCGGCUAACUCCGUGCCAGCAGCCGCGGUAAUACGGGGGAUGCGGGCGUUAUCCGGAUUGGUUGGGUUAAAGGGGUGCGCAGGCGGAGGCGCAAGUCAGCGGUAAAAUCGCGGGGCUCAACCCCGCUCCGCCGUUGAAACUGUGUCCCUUGAGUGCGCGAAGGGUAGGCGGAAUGCGUGGUGUAGCGGUGAAAUGCAUAGAUAUCACGAAGAACUCCGAUCGCGAAGGCAGCCUACCGGCGCGUAACUGACGCUCAUGAACGAAAGCGUGGGUAUCGAACAGGAUUAGAUACCCUAGUAGUC